Molecule: ribosomal RNA, 485 nt
Filed under: uncultured bacterium
Lineage: Bacteria
Description: partial 16S ribosomal RNA
Rfam family: Bacterial small subunit ribosomal RNA
Source: RNAcentral
GAUGAACGCUGGCGGCGUGCUUAACACAUGCAAGUCGAACGGGAUCCAAGGGGUGCUUGCACUUUUUGGUGAGAGUGGCGCACGGGUGAGUCACACGUGAGUAACCUGUCCUUUUCUUUGGGAUAAGCAUUCGACAGGGUGUUUAAUACCUUAUGUUCUGUCUGCCUCGCAUGGGGUGGUUGGGAAAGGCUUUGGCCGGAUUUGGGUGGGCUCGCGGUCUAUCAGCUUGUUGGUGGGGUGAUGGCUUACCCAGGCUUUGACGGGUAGCCGGCCUGAGAGGGUGGUCGGUCACAUAGGGACUGAGAAACGGCCCAGACGGCUGCGGGAGGCAGCAGUGGGGGAUAUUGCAAAAUGGGCGAAAGCCUGAUGCAGCGACGCCGGGUGGGGGAGGAAGGCUUUCGGGUUGUAAACUUCUUUGGCUCUGAACAAGGCAUGCCAGUGGGUGUGUGGAGGGAAGGGGUGGAUUAGCGCCGGCUAACUACGUG